CAUAAACUUCAUACCAUUUGCCUUAAAUUCCAGAUCUUCCAAUUGCAAGGAAGCUAUCACUCCAACAUUUUCUUGAAAAACGUCGCCGCAGGAUAAUGAGCAAAUCUCCAUAUUCAACUCCUAGGGCAGAACAUAAUAAGGAAACUAAGCCAAGAGCAGAUGAUGAUGGCUCAAAUGGAGAUCAUAGCAUUUCUCUUUCACCAUUCCCUUCACGUUUAGACUAGUUCUUCCCUAUAUCUGCUAACAAAGGUCUUUAAUUAAGAAUAAUGCCUAAUAUUUUAAAUAAUUUUGUAUUUAUUACUAAUUCUAGCAAAUUAUAAUUUAUAUUUGUGCAAAUUGAACUUAUAUAAUACUUUAUAUAUUAUUUUUAA
Hevea brasiliensis (rubber tree) is the source of this 371-nucleotide long non-coding RNA. RefSeq lists it as uncharacterized. Lineage: Eukaryota; Viridiplantae; Streptophyta; Magnoliopsida; Malpighiales; Euphorbiaceae. The transcript has 2 exons. The record is from RefSeq and is a predicted model, not a curated record.